UACGUAGGGUGCGAGCGUUAAUCGGAAUUAUUGGGCGUAAAGCGUGCGCAGGCGGUUCCGCAAGUCAGAUGUGAAAUCCCCGGGCUCAACCUGGGAACUGCAUUUGAAACUAUGGAGCUAGAGUGUGUCAGAGGGGGGUAGAAUUCCACGUGUAGCAGUGAAGUGCGUAGAGAUGUGGAGGAAUACCGAUGGCGAAGGCAGCCCCCUGGGAUGACACUGACGCUCAUGCACGAAAGCGUGGGGAGCAAACAGG
RNAcentral lists this ribosomal RNA (253 nucleotides) under uncultured bacterium. RNAcentral's name for it is "partial 16S ribosomal RNA". It matches the Rfam family "Bacterial small subunit ribosomal RNA", at positions 524 to 776 of the family's 1533-position model. The record is from RNAcentral.